UAGUAGUAAUCGUGGAUCAGAAUGCCACGGUGAAUACGUUCCCGGGCCUUGUACACACCGCCCGUCACACCAUGGGAGUGGGUUGCAAAAGAAGUAGGUAGCUUAACCUUCGGGAGGGCGCUUACCACUUUGUGAUUCAUGACUGGGGUGAAGUCGUAACAAGGUAACCGUAGGGGAACCUGCGGUUGGAUCACCUCCUUA
This 201-nucleotide ribosomal RNA is filed under the name Salmonella enterica. RNAcentral's name for it is "partial 16S ribosomal RNA". It matches the Rfam family "Bacterial small subunit ribosomal RNA", at positions 1333 to 1533 of the family's 1533-position model. Lineage: Bacteria; Pseudomonadati; Pseudomonadota; Gammaproteobacteria; Enterobacterales; Enterobacteriaceae. The record is from RNAcentral.